This 274-nucleotide ribosomal RNA is filed under the name uncultured bacterium. Its description in RNAcentral is "partial 16S ribosomal RNA". It matches the Rfam family "Bacterial small subunit ribosomal RNA", at positions 523 to 796 of the family's 1533-position model. The record is from RNAcentral.
AUACGGAGGGUGCAAGCGUUAUCCGGAAUCAUUGGGUUUAAAGGGUCCGUAGGCGGACUAUUAAGUCAGAGGUGAAAUCCCACAGCUCAACUGUGGAACUCCCUUUGAUACUGGUAGUCUUGAGUUAUAUGGUAGUAGAUAGAAUGUGUAGUGUAGCGGUGAAAUGCAUAGAUAUUACACAGAAUACCGAUUGCGAAGGCAGUCUACUACGUAUAUACUGACGCUAAGGGACGAAAGCGUGGGGAGCGAACAGGAUUAGAAACCCCAGUAGUCC